CCUACGGGUGGCAGCAGUGGGGAAUAUUGCACAAUGGGGGAAACCCUGAUGCAGCGACGCCGCGUGAAGGAUGAAGUAUUUCGGUAUGUAAACUUCUAUCAGCAGGGAAGAAAAUGACGGUACCUGACUAAGAAGCCCCGGCUAACUACGUGCCAGCAGCCGCGGUAAUCCGUAGGGGGCAAGCGUUAUCCGGAUUUACUGGGUGUAAAGGGGGCGCAGACGGCGAUGCAAGCCAGGAGUGAAAGCCCGGGGCCCAACCCCGGGACUGCUCUUGGAACUGCGUGGCUAGAGUGCAGGAGGGGCAGGCGGAAUUCCUGGUGUAGCGGUGAAAUGCGUAGAUAGCAGGAGGAACACCGGUGGCGAAGGCGGCCUGCUGGACUGCAACUGACGUUGAGGCCCGAAAGCGUGGGGAGCAAACAGGAUUAGAUACCCUGGUAGUC
Molecule: ribosomal RNA, 440 nt
Filed under: uncultured bacterium
Lineage: Bacteria
Description: partial 16S ribosomal RNA
Rfam family: Bacterial small subunit ribosomal RNA
Source: RNAcentral